This 406-nucleotide ribosomal RNA is filed under the name uncultured bacterium. RNAcentral's name for it is "partial 16S ribosomal RNA". It matches the Rfam family "Bacterial small subunit ribosomal RNA", at positions 30 to 526 of the family's 1533-position model. The record is from RNAcentral.
AUUGAACGCUGGCGGCAGGCCUAACACAUGCAAGUCGAACGAGUGGCGGACGGGUGAGUAAUGUCUGGGAAACUGCCUGAUGGAGGGGGAUAACUACUGGAAACGGUAGCUAAUACCGCAUACCAUCGAAUGUGCCCAGAUGGGAUUAGCUAGUAGGAGGGGUAAAGGCUCACCUAGGCGACGAUCCCUAGCUGGUCUGAGAGGAUGACCAGAAACACUGGAACGUAGAAACGGUCCAGACUACGAAGGGAGGCAGCAGUGGGGAAUAUUGCACAAUGGGCGCAAGCCUGAUGCAGCCAUGCCGCGUGUCUGAAGAAGGCCUUCGGGUUUGAAUGUACUUUCAGCGGGGAGGCGUUACCCGCAGAAGAAGCACCGGCUAACUCCGUGCCAGCAGCCGCGGUAAUAC